UACGUAGGAUCCAAGCGUGGUCCGGAUUUACUGGGUGUAAAGGGUGCGCAGGCGGACUUGUUAGUCAGAGGUGAAAUCUCACUGCUCAACAGUGAAACUGCCUUUGAUACUGCAGGUCUUGAAUCCAGAAGAGAGUUGUGGAAUUCCGAGUGUAGCAGUGAAAUGUGUAGAUAUUCGGAAGAACACCAGCGGCGAAGGCAGCAACUUGGUCUGGUAUUGACGCUCAGGCACGAAAGCAUGGGGAUCAAACAGG
RNAcentral lists this ribosomal RNA (253 nucleotides) under uncultured bacterium. Its description in RNAcentral is "partial 16S ribosomal RNA". It matches the Rfam family "Bacterial small subunit ribosomal RNA", at positions 524 to 776 of the family's 1533-position model. The record is from RNAcentral.